AUUGAACGCUGGCGGCAGGCCUAACACAUGCAAGUCGAACGGUAACAGGAAGAAGCUUGCUUCUUUGCUGACGAGUGGCGGAAGGGAGAGUAAUGUCUGGGAAACUGCCUGAUGGAGGGGGUUAACUACUGGAAACGGUAGCUAAUACCGCAUAACGUCGCAAGAACAAAGAGGGGGACCUUCGGGCCUCUUGCCAUCGGCUGUGCCCAGAUGGGAUUAGCCAGUAGGUGGGGUAACGGCUCACCUAGGCAACGAUCCCUAGCUGGUCUGAGAGGAUGACCGGCCACACUGGAACUGAGACACGGUCCAGACUCCUACGGGAGGCAGCAGUGGGGAAUAUUGCGCAAUGGGCGAAAGCCUGAUGCAGCCAUGCCGCGUGUAUGAAGAAGGCCUUCGGGUUGUAAAGUACUUUCAGCGGGGAGGAAGGAAGUAAAGUUUAUGCCUUUGCUCAUUGACGUUACCCGCAGAAGAAGCAACGGCUAACUCCGUG
RNAcentral lists this ribosomal RNA (490 nucleotides) under uncultured bacterium. RNAcentral describes it as "partial 16S ribosomal RNA". It matches the Rfam family "Bacterial small subunit ribosomal RNA", at positions 30 to 507 of the family's 1533-position model. The record is from RNAcentral.